GGUAGCUGCAAGGUGAAUUGGUCAGCGGUGUGCACUCCCACAUCUCAUGGAGGACUAGGGAUCCUCGACCUUGUACGUUUCAGUCGUGCCCUUAGAUUGCGGUGGCUUUGGAUCUCCGGGACUGAGCCGGAGCGGCCAUGGGUUGGCACGCAGCCACCAUGCAACGCCAGCGACAAGGCUCUUUCGCAGUGGCGACCGUGGUCACCAUCGGCGAUGGGGAAACAACACUCUUCUGGCACUCCUCCUAGAUUGGUUCGAGCACCCUUGCCAGCGCUUACCCCUCCUCUACAAGCAUUCCAGGCACAAAAAUAG
This 312-nucleotide ribosomal RNA is filed under the name Triticum aestivum (bread wheat). Its description in RNAcentral is "partial small subunit ribosomal RNA". Lineage: Eukaryota; Viridiplantae; Streptophyta; Magnoliopsida; Poales; Poaceae. The record is from RNAcentral.